GAAACUGCUCAGGACGAACGCUGGCGGCGUGCCUAAUACAUGCAAGUCGAACGAACUCUGGUAUUGAUUGGUGCUUGCAUCAUGAUUUACAUUUGAGUGAGUGGCGAACUGGUGAGUAACACGUGGGAAACCUGCCCAGAAGCGGGGGAUAACACCUGGAAACAGAUGCUAAUACCGCAUAACAACUUGGACCGCAUGGUCCGAGUUUGAAAGAUGGCUUCGGCUAUCACUUUUGGAUGGUCCCGCGGCGUAUUAGCUAGAUGGUGGGGUAACGGCUCACCAUGGCAAUGAUACGUAGCCGACCUGAGAGGGUAAUCGGCCACAUUGGGACUGAGACACGGCCCAAACUCCUACGGGAGGCAGCAGUAGGGAAUCUUCCACAAUGGACGAAAGUCUGAUGGAGCAACGCCGCGUGAGUGAAGAAGGGUUUCGGCUCGUAAAACUCUGUUGUUAAAGAAGAACAUAUCUGAGAGUAACUGUUCAGGUAUUGACGGUAUUUAACCAGAAAGCCACGGCUAACUACGUGCCAGCAGCCGCGGUAAUACGUAGGUGGCAAGCGUUGUCCGGAUUUAUUGGGCGUAAAGCGAGCGCAGGCGGUUUUUUAAGUCUGAUGUGAAAGCCUUCGGCUCAACCGAAGAAGUGCAUCGGAAACUGGGAAACUUGAGUGCAGAAGAGGACAGUGGAACUCCAUGUGUAGCGGUGAAAUGCGUAGAUAUAUGGAAGAACACCAGUGGCGAAGGCGGCUGUCUGGUCUGUAACUGACGCUGAGGCUCGAAAGUAUGGGUAGCAAACAGGAUUAGAUACCCUGGUAGUCCAUACCGUAAACGAUGAAUGCUAAGUGUUGGAGGGUUUCCGCCCUUCAGUGCUGCAGCUAACGCAUUAAGCAUUCCGCCUGGGGAGUACGGCCGCAAGGCUGAAACUCAAAGGAAUUGACGGGGGCCCGCACAAGCGGUGGAGCAUGUGGUUUAAUUCGAAGCUACGCGAAGAACCUUACCAGGUCUUGACAUACUAUGCAAAUCUAAGAGAUUAGACGUUCCCUUCGGGGACAUGGAUACAGGUGGUGCAUGGUUGUCGUCAGCUCGUGUCGUGAGAUGUUGGGUUAAGUCCCGCAACGAGCGCAACCCUUAUUAUCAGUUGCCAGCAUUAAGUUGGGCACUCUGGUGAGACUGCCGGUGACAAACCGGAGGAAGGUGGGGAUGACGUCAAAUCAUCAUGCCCCUUAUGACCUGGGCUACACACGUGCUACAAUGGAUGGUACAACGAGUUGCGAACUCGCGAGAGUAAGCUAAUCUCUUAAAGCCAUUCUCAGUUCGGAUUGUAGGCUGCAACUCGCCUACAUGAAGUCGGAAUCGCUAGUAAUCGCGGAUCAGCAUGCCGCGGUGAAUACGUUCCCGGGCCUUGUACACACCGCCCGUCACACCAUGAGAGUUUGUAACACCCAAAGUCGGUGGGGUAACCUUUUAGGAACCAGCCGCCUAAGGUGGGACAGAUGAUUAGGGUGAAGUCGUAACAAGGUAACCCGUAA
RNAcentral lists this ribosomal RNA (1525 nucleotides) under Lactiplantibacillus plantarum. RNAcentral's name for it is "bacterial SSU rRNA". It matches the Rfam family "Bacterial small subunit ribosomal RNA". The record is from RNAcentral. Lineage: Bacteria; Bacillati; Bacillota; Bacilli; Lactobacillales; Lactobacillaceae.